This 253-nucleotide ribosomal RNA is filed under the name uncultured bacterium. RNAcentral's name for it is "partial 16S ribosomal RNA". It matches the Rfam family "Bacterial small subunit ribosomal RNA", at positions 524 to 776 of the family's 1533-position model. The record is from RNAcentral.
UACGUAGGGCGCGAGCGUUGUCCGGAUUUAUUGGGCGUAAAGAGCUCGUAGGCGGCUUGGCGCGUCGACUGUGAAAUCCCGCGGCUCAACUGCGGGUCUGCAGUCGAUACGGGCAGGCUAGAGUUCGGUAGGGGAGACUGGAAUUCCUGGUGUAGCGGUGAAAUGCGCAGAUAUCAGGAGGAACACCGAUGGCGAAGGCAGGUCUCUGGGCCGAUACUGACGCUGAGGAGCGAAAGCGUGGGGAGCGAACAGG